UCAAGAGCUUUCUGCUGAUGAGAGACCACGACCUUGGGCUAGUCCUGGCCAGUUUACAGACGCUGUGCACUUGAGCACCUUUGAGUCCUGGAAAGACCUAAUUGGAAUACAUUUACAUGUGAAGCCUCCACCUCAAGAUUCAGAAAUCCCUGUGCCAACUAGAACCCUUUGAAACUAACCCUGACUAUCAUCAACAAGGAAUGUGGCUGCUUCCAUAGCAUAUUUGAAGUACAGAACUCAAGAAAAUGCUUCCUA
RNAcentral lists this long non-coding RNA (255 nucleotides) under Homo sapiens (human). Its description in RNAcentral is "long non-coding RNA NONHSAT153071.1". Lineage: Eukaryota; Metazoa; Chordata; Mammalia; Primates; Hominidae. The record is from RNAcentral.